This 249-nucleotide ribosomal RNA is filed under the name uncultured bacterium. RNAcentral's name for it is "partial 16S ribosomal RNA". It matches the Rfam family "Bacterial small subunit ribosomal RNA", at positions 524 to 770 of the family's 1533-position model. The record is from RNAcentral.
UACGAAGGGUGCAAGCGUUACUCGGAAUUACUGGGCGUAAAGCGUGCGUAGGUGGUUCGUUAAGUCUGUCGUGAAAGCCCCGGGCUCAACCUGGGAAUGGCGAUGGAUACUGGCGGGCUAGAGUGCGGUAGAGGAGAGUGGAAUUCCCGGGUGUAGCAGUGAAAUGCGUAGAGAUCGGGGAGGAACAUCAGUUGCGAAGGCGGCUCUCUGGACCAGCACUGACACUGAGGCACGAAAGCGUGGGGAGCA